This 301-nucleotide ribosomal RNA is filed under the name uncultured bacterium. RNAcentral's name for it is "partial 16S ribosomal RNA". It matches the Rfam family "Bacterial small subunit ribosomal RNA", at positions 509 to 809 of the family's 1533-position model. The record is from RNAcentral.
CAGUAGCCACGGUAAUACGUAGGUGGCGAGCGUUGUCCGGAAUCAUUGGGCGUAAAGGGAGCGCAGGCGGGCAUGUAAGUCUUUCUUAAAAGUGCGGGGCUCAACCCCGUGAUGGGAAAGAAACUACAUGUCUUGAGUACAGGAGAGGAAAGCGGAAUUCCCAGUGUAGCGGUGAAAUGCGUAGAUAUUGGGAGGAACACCAGUGGCGAAGGCGGCUUUCUGGACUGCAACUGACGCUGAGGCUCGAAAGCCAGGGGAGCGAACGGGAUUAGAUACCCCUGUAGUCCCUGUCUCUUAUACA